RNAcentral lists this ribosomal RNA (384 nucleotides) under uncultured archaeon. Its description in RNAcentral is "bacterial SSU rRNA". It matches the Rfam family "Archaeal small subunit ribosomal RNA", at positions 976 to 1362 of the family's 1478-position model. The record is from RNAcentral.
UUUUCAGAGAGGUGGUGCAUGGCCGUCGUCAGUUCGUACUGUAAAGCGUUCUGUUAAGUCAGAUAACGAACGAGACCNUCAUCUCUAUUUGCUACCUGUCUCUCCGGAGACGGCGCACUAUAGGGAGACCGCUGGUGUUAAACCAGAGGAAGGCGAGGGCAACGACAGGUCAGUAUGCCCCGAAUGUCCUGGGCUACACGCGCGCUACAAAGGACGGGACAAUGGGAAGCUAGGCCGAGAGGCCACGCUAACCCGAAACCCGUUCGUAGUUCGGAUUGAGGGCUGUAACUCGCCCUCAUGAAGCUGGAUUCCGUAGUAAUCGUGUUUCAACAUAGCACGGUGAAUAUGCCCCUGCUCCUUGCACACACCGCCCGUCAAACCAUC